RNAcentral lists this ribosomal RNA (496 nucleotides) under uncultured bacterium. Its description in RNAcentral is "partial 16S ribosomal RNA". It matches the Rfam family "Bacterial small subunit ribosomal RNA", at positions 28 to 506 of the family's 1533-position model. The record is from RNAcentral.
GAUGAACGCUGGCGGCGUGCCUAAUACAUGCAAGUCGAGCGAACAGACGAGGAGCUUGCUCCUCUGACGUUAGCGGCGGACGGGUGAGUAACACGUGGAUAACCUACCUAUAAGACUGGGAUAACUUCGGGAAACCGGAGCUAAUACCGGAUAAUAUAUUGAACCGCAUGGUUCAAUAGUGAAAGACGGUUUUGCUGUCACUUAUAGAUGGAUCCGCGCCGCAUUAGCUAGUUGGUAAGGUAACGGCUUACCAAGGCAACGAUGCGUAGCCGACCUGAGAGGGGGACCGGCCCACCGGGAAUUGAGAACCGGUCCAGACUCCACGGGGGGGCAGGAGUGGGGAAUUUUCCGAAAUGGGGGAAAGCCUGGCGGAGAAACGCCGGGGGGGUGAAGAAGGUUUUGGGAUCGAAAAACUUUGUUUUUAGGAAAAAAAAAAUGUGUAAGUAACUUUGCACGUCUUGACGGUACCUAAUCAAAAAGCCACGGCUAACUACGU